ACUUGUAUAAGUCAACAUAUUGGGUUGGUGUUUCUACCUUUUGACCUAUCAGAAGUCUAUAAGU
This 64-nucleotide non-coding RNA is filed under the name Spiroplasma taiwanense CT-1. Its description in RNAcentral is "2dG-I riboswitch aptamer (M. florum)". It matches the Rfam family "2dG-I riboswitch aptamer (M. florum)". The record is from Rfam by way of RNAcentral. Lineage: Bacteria; Bacillati; Mycoplasmatota; Mollicutes; Entomoplasmatales; Spiroplasmataceae.